UUUCCUACGGGGCGCAGCAGUGGGGGAUAUUGCACAAUGGGGGAAACCCUGAUGCAGCGACGCCGCGUGAGUGAAGAAGUAUUUCGGUACGUAAAGCUCUAUCAGCAGGGAAGAAAAAUGACGGUACCUGACUAAGAAGCCCCGGCUAACUACGUGCCAGCAGCCGCGGUAAUACGUAGGGGGCAAGCGUUAUCCGGAUUUACUGGGUGUAAAGGGAGCGUAGACGGCUGUGCAAGUCUGAAGUGAAAUGCCGGGGCCCAACCCCGGAACUGCUUUGGAAACUGUACAGC
This 290-nucleotide ribosomal RNA is filed under the name uncultured bacterium. RNAcentral's name for it is "partial 16S ribosomal RNA". It matches the Rfam family "Bacterial small subunit ribosomal RNA", at positions 335 to 641 of the family's 1533-position model. The record is from RNAcentral.